GAUGAACGCUGGCGGCGUGCCUAACACAUGCAAGUCGAACGGAGUCCAGCCUUAGAGACCUUCGGGUCAAAGAGGGGAAGACUGAGUGGCGGACGGGUGAGUAACACGUGGGCAACCUGGCUCAUAGAGGGGGAUAACAGAGAGAAAUUUCUGCUAAUACCGCAUAAGCACACACUGCCGCAUGGCAGAGUGUGAAAAGAGAAUCGCUAUGAGAUGGACCCGCGUCUGAUUAGCCAGUUGGCAGGGUAAGAGCCUACCAAAGCGACGAUCAGUAGCCGAUUUGAGAGGAUGAACGGCCACAUUGGGACUGAGACACGGCCCAAACUCCUACGGGAGGCAGCAGCGGGGGAUAUUGCACAAUGGGGGGAACCCUGAUGCAGCGACGCCGCGUGAGUGAAGAAGUAUUUCGGUAUGUAAAGCUCUAUCAGCAGGGAAGAUAAUGACAGUACCUGAAUAAGAAGCCCCGGCUAACUACGUG
RNAcentral lists this ribosomal RNA (478 nucleotides) under uncultured bacterium. Its description in RNAcentral is "partial 16S ribosomal RNA". It matches the Rfam family "Bacterial small subunit ribosomal RNA", at positions 28 to 507 of the family's 1533-position model. The record is from RNAcentral.